This 550-nucleotide transfer RNA is filed under the name Xanthomonas sp. Selvi. RNAcentral's name for it is "partial miscellaneous RNA". The stretch from base 208 to 281 matches the Rfam family "tRNA". Lineage: Bacteria; Pseudomonadati; Pseudomonadota; Gammaproteobacteria; Lysobacterales; Lysobacteraceae. The record is from RNAcentral.
GGCUGGAUCACCUCCUUUUGAGCAUGACGUCAUUCGUCCUGUCGGGCGUCCUCACAAAUUACCUGCAUUCAGAGAUUCAUACCGGCACAGGUCGGUAUGCGAAGUCCCUUUUGGGGCCUUAGCUCAGCUGGGAGAGCACCUGCUUUGCAAGCAGGGGGUCGUCGGUUCGAUCCCGACAGGCUCCACCAUAUUGAGUGAAAAGACUUCGGGUCUGUAGCUCAGGUGGUUAGAGCGCACCCCUGAUAAGGGUGAGGUCGGUAGUUCGAGUCUACCCAGACCCACCACUCUGAAUGUAGUGCACACUUAAGAAUUUAUAUGGAUCAGCGUUGAGGCUGAGACAUGUUCUUUUAUAACUUGUGACGUAGCGAGCGUUUGAGAUAUCUAUCUAAACGUGUCGUUGAGGCUAAGGCGGGGACUUCGAGUCCCUAAAUAAUUGAGUCGUAUGUUCGCGUUGGUGGCUUUGUACCCCACACAACACGUACAUGUAACUCCGAGGCAACUUGGGGUUAUAUGGUCAAGCGAAUAAGCGCACACGGUGGAUGCCUUGGCA